GUCCACGCCGUAAACGAUGGGUACUAGGCGUCGGGGGGAGCGACCCUCUCGGUGCCGUCGCUAACGCAAUAAGUACCCCGCCCUGGGGAGUACGGUCGCAAGACUGAAACUCAAAGGAAUUGACGGGGGCCCGCACAAGCGGUGGAGCAUGUGGUUUAAUUCGAAGCAACGCGAAGAACCUUACCUGGGCUUGACAUGCACGGGAAAGCUGGUGGAAACAUCGGCCCCUCUUCGGAGUACGUGCACAGGUGCUGCAUGGCUGUCGU
RNAcentral lists this ribosomal RNA (266 nucleotides) under uncultured bacterium. RNAcentral's name for it is "partial 16S ribosomal RNA". It matches the Rfam family "Bacterial small subunit ribosomal RNA", at positions 793 to 1055 of the family's 1533-position model. The record is from RNAcentral.